Molecule: long non-coding RNA, 298 nt
Filed under: Prunus dulcis (almond)
Lineage: Eukaryota; Viridiplantae; Streptophyta; Magnoliopsida; Rosales; Rosaceae
Description: sRNA ncRNA
Source: RNAcentral
AUGCUAAAUUCUUUACGAGUGCAUACCUGUGAUCAUAUCCGACAAUUUUGUUCUGCCAUUUUCCGAGGUUUUGGAUUGGGCCCAUUCUCAGUAAUUCUUGCAGAGAGAGACAUCCCAAACUUGAAAGAGAUACUGCUUUCAAUACCAGAAGAGAAGUAUCUUCAGAUGCAGGUAGGGGUCAGGAAGGUUCAAAAGCUAGCAUUUUCUCUGGCAUGCUAAACCCCUCAAGUAUGAUCUCUUCCACAUGACUCUUCACUCAAUUUGUUACAACAGAGUUUUUCAGAUAAAAAUCCGGUAA